RNAcentral lists this ribosomal RNA (1406 nucleotides) under uncultured euryarchaeote. RNAcentral's name for it is "bacterial SSU rRNA". It matches the Rfam family "Archaeal small subunit ribosomal RNA". The record is from RNAcentral. Lineage: Archaea; Methanobacteriati; Methanobacteriota.
GCCGGAGGUUACUGCUAUUGGGAUUCGAUUUAGCCAUGCGAGGCGAGAGUCUUUAAGGACUCGCCGAACUGCUCAGUAACACGUAGUCAACCUACCCUCAGGGUGGGGAUAACCCCGGGAAACUGGGACUAAUAUCCAAUAGGGGAUUAGUACUGGAAUGUCUUUUCCCUGAAACGUUACGACACCUGAGGAUGGGACUGCGGUUGAUUAGGUAGUUGGAGGUGUAAUGGACCUUCAAGCCUAUAAUCAGUACGGGCGUUGAGAGACGGAGCCCGGAGAUGGACUCUGAGACACGAGUCCAGGCCCUACGGGGUGCAGCAGGCGCGAAACUUUUACAAUGCCUUAACGGGUGAUAAAGGAAUCCCAAGUGCUCUAGCAUAGCUAGGGCUUUUACGUAGUGUAAAAAGCUAUGUGAAUAAGUGGUGGGAAAAACGGGUGCCAGCCGCCGCGGUAAUACCCGUGCCACAAGUGGUAACCAUGAUUAUUGGGCCUAAAGCGUCCGUAGCCGGCCGGAUGGGUCUUCGGUGAAAUCCUACGUUAGAACGUAGGGCAUGUCGAGGAAACUAUCUGGCUUGGGACCGGGAGAGGCCGGGGCUACUUCAGGGGUAGUGGUAAAAUACUGUAAUCCUUGAAGGAGCACCUGUGGCGAAAGCGCCCGGCUGGAACGGCUCCGACGGUGAGGGACGAAAGCCUGGGGAGCGAAGGGGAUUAGAUACCCCCGUAGUCCAGGCCGUUAACGAUGCCCGUUUGGUGUAGCGUUUCCUAUGGGGAAGCGCUGUGCCGUAGCGUAGGUGUUAAGCGGGCCGCCUGGGGAGUACGUCCGCAAGGAUGAAACUUAAGGGAAUUGGCGGGGAAGCACCACAAGCGGUGGAGGCUGCGGUUUAAUUGGAUUCGACGCCAGGAAAGUUACCAGCGCUGACAGCAUGAUGACGGUCACUCUGAAGGGGUUACCUGAAGCGCUGAGAGGAGUUGCAUGGCCAUCGUCAGCUCGUACUGUGAAGCGUCCGGUUAAGUCCGGUAACGAGCAAGACCCGUAUUCUUAGUUGCUAUCUCGUCCUCUGGGAUGGGAGCACUCUAAGAAGACUGCCCUCGAUAAGAGGGAGGAAGGUGCGGACGACGGUAGGUCAGUAUGGCCCGAAUGCGCUGGGCUACACGCGGCCUACAAUGGUCGGGACAAUGAGCUGCCACUCCGAAAGGAGGAGCCAGUCUCGAAACCCGAUCUUAGUUCGGAUCGAGGACUGAAACCCGUCCUCGUGAAGUCGGAAUCGCUAGUAAGCGAGGGUCAUCAUCUCUCGCUGAAUACGUCCCUGCUUCUUACACACACUGCCCGUCAAACCAUCCGAGUGGGAUCUUGAUGAGGCCCAGGUAAUUUACUUGGGUCAAAUCAGGAUCCCGCAAGGAGGGUU